Danio aesculapii is the source of this 210-nucleotide long non-coding RNA. RefSeq lists it as uncharacterized. The transcript has 3 exons. NCBI's taxonomy places the organism in Eukaryota, Metazoa, Chordata, Actinopteri, Cypriniformes, Danionidae. The record is from RefSeq and is a predicted model, not a curated record.
ACGCAGAUGAGUCGCAGGGAUGUUUGCAGCUUGAAGCAAAUACCGAGUAUUAAGAUGAUUCAUCAAAAUUGACUUGAGAGUGGAGUGUGCAGAGCUGUGAGUGACCUGUGGAUGUGGGUUUUUUUUUCUUUUCUUUUUUGUCCCUACUUUUAAUGUUCGUAAAUUUGCCUUGUUAUUUGACAACCAUUAAAUGAGACUUUGAAACCGCAA